RNAcentral lists this transfer RNA (69 nucleotides) under Marmota monax (woodchuck). RNAcentral describes it as "tRNA.Ala". Lineage: Eukaryota; Metazoa; Chordata; Mammalia; Rodentia; Sciuridae. The record is from RNAcentral.
GGAGUUGUGGCUCAGCGGUAGAGUGCUCACCUAGCAUGUGCGAGGCACUGGGUUUGAUUCUCAUCACCA